Long non-coding RNA from Nannospalax galili (Upper Galilee mountains blind mole rat), 932 nucleotides. RefSeq lists it as uncharacterized. The record is from RefSeq and is a predicted model, not a curated record. NCBI's taxonomy places the organism in Eukaryota, Metazoa, Chordata, Mammalia, Rodentia, Spalacidae. The transcript has 3 exons.
ACCACGUGCAGUGCUGACCCCAGCUCAGUUCCCUGAAUCACCUUCCCUCCACAUGACACACAAUGACCAGUCUCCUGUAAGUGGACAAAAACCCCUCUGGGCUGUGCACCCAGCCUCCUCUCCUUGCCUCUGGAGGCUAUUUUCACAUAAAUCAGGAAGGCAGCAGCAGCAUUCGCCACCUGUCAGCACUCAGAGGCUGGUGAGUAACCAGCACACAGAGACCCAUUUCCUCUCCAGCCAAACCUGUUCGUUUAUGUCACAGAAGAGAUGAAGUUUCCUUGAGAACUGGACAAAACAGAAGUUUCCCUCCCACCAUGUUGGUGCCCAUACAUACCACACUCAGAUCUCAACAGCGGCUCCGGCAUAUCUCAGACUGCAGAACUGGACAGUUCUUCUGCAGUCCUGGGUGGCCCACGGAGAGGUUUUACAAGGAGAACGGAAGGAAAAGUCGAAAAAAACUACAAGAUCACGGAGCAGCAGCUCGGGGCAGAGUACAGAGAACACGCACCUAACACAUGGCCGUGGAGAAGGUGGUGACUGUUGUCCUUGAGGCAUACCUGUUCAUCUGGUAUUCUAAAGCUAGAGACUCGGACUGUGACUGAAACCCGGGCCUGCUCCUGUCCUGCUGUUGCCUGCAAUGCUGUGCCAUUCAAGUGUACAGAGUCCACCCUCCUUAAACAAAAUAAAACCCUGACACAAAGGCACCUCAUAGUUUAACAUUUACUCAAAGUUCUCUCUGAAACAAUGGAAGAGUGCACUCUUUCUUGGUACUUUACAGGCAGGAGACAGAGUCUCUUCACGUUGGAAGGACGUCAGCUCCAGGUUCCAGCUCCUCCUUUUGUUGAUCUGCUCUUACACAGAUCACCUGACCUAUUUAGGCCAGCUUAAUCAUCUGUGACACUCAGGCCUGGCUCAGGCAUGACCCACGCAAU